Molecule: ribosomal RNA, 437 nt
Filed under: uncultured Saccharofermentans sp.
Lineage: Bacteria; Bacillati; Bacillota; Clostridia; Eubacteriales; Oscillospiraceae
Description: bacterial SSU rRNA
Rfam family: Bacterial small subunit ribosomal RNA
Source: RNAcentral
ACGGGAGGCAGCAGUGGGGAAUAUUGGGCAAUGGGCGAAAGCCUGACCCAGCAACGCCGCGUGAAGGAUGAAGGUCUUCGGAUUGUAAACUUCUUUGAUCAGGGACGAAACAAAUGACGGUACCUGAAGAACAAGCCACGGCUAACUACGUGCCAGCAGCCGCGGUAAUACGUAGGUGGCGAGCGUUAUCCGGAUUUACUGGGUGUAAAGGGCGUGUAGGCGGUUCUGCAAGUCAGAAGUGAAAUUCCCGGGCUUAACUCGGGCGCUGCUUCUGAAACUGUAGAACUUGAGUACUGGAGAGGAUAGUGGAAUUCCUAGUGUAGCGGUAAAAUGCGCAGAUAUUAGGAGGAACACCAGUGGCGAAGGCGGCUAUCUGGACAGUAACUGACGCUGAGGCGCGAAAGCGUGGGGAGCAAACAGGAUUAGAUACCCUGGUA